UCUGCGAAAAUGUGAUUUCGGA
This 22-nucleotide microRNA is filed under the name Glycine max (soybean). RNAcentral describes it as "gma-miR4392". The record is from miRBase by way of RNAcentral. Lineage: Eukaryota; Viridiplantae; Streptophyta; Magnoliopsida; Fabales; Fabaceae.